GCGCUUCUAGCUCAGUUGGUAGAGCAGCUGACUCUUAAUCAGCGGGCCCAGGGUUCGAGUCCCUGGAAGCGCA
This 73-nucleotide transfer RNA is filed under the name Ruthenibacterium lactatiformans. It matches the Rfam family "tRNA". Rfam says of the family: Transfer RNA (tRNA) molecules are approximately 80 nucleotides in length. Their secondary structure includes four short double-helical elements and three loops (D, anti-codon, and T loops). The record is from Rfam by way of RNAcentral. Lineage: Bacteria; Bacillati; Bacillota; Clostridia; Eubacteriales; Oscillospiraceae. RNAcentral also lists the same sequence under 1 other name.